GCUCCAUAACUGUUGGCCAUUUGUAUAUAUUAUCUUUGACAAACUCCACUAACUCCCUGGCAACAUGGCAGUAGUGGUUAUCAGCCUGGAGUCCCACUGCCUGGGCCCAAAUCCUACUAUACCCUUAACAGCUGUGACCCUGGAAGGAUUUCUGCCCAGAUGAGACCAACACGGAGAAUGGUAGUGAAAAAUGAAGCGCUAAAGAGAAGAAAGAGCCCCCUUAAAGUAUGAGAAGACCAUGCUGGGCUUGACAAGUUUCUCCCAGCCAGACUUUUAGGCAUUUCUGUCUCCUCUCCUUGUCUCACUUGACUCUGCUAUUGUGUGUCCCCUGAACCAGAUGGUCAUUUAUGAAAGGUUUUCUGAAUUCCUAGAAGAAAUUUUUAUAGGUUGACUAAGCUUCUGCUUCCUCUCUGUGCAUGUGCAGGUUCUGGUUUUUAUCUGGGUCACUUGGAAACUUUGAGAAGCAUUCUUUGUGGGAAGGUGGGUGUGAUGAUGAAGAUGGUGAUGAUGAU
Long non-coding RNA from Sapajus apella (tufted capuchin), 512 nucleotides. RefSeq lists it as uncharacterized. The transcript has 3 exons. Lineage: Eukaryota; Metazoa; Chordata; Mammalia; Primates; Cebidae. The record is from RefSeq and is a predicted model, not a curated record.